GCGGGGGUUGCCGAGCCAGGUCAAUGAGCUCAACGGCUCGGCUAAAGGCGCAGCCCUGACCCGGCUGUCCCGUAGGGGUUCGUGGGUUCAAAUCCCACCCCCCGC
This 105-nucleotide transfer RNA is filed under the name Thermoprotei archaeon. Its description in RNAcentral is "tRNA-Val". It matches the Rfam family "tRNA". From Rfam's summary of the family: Transfer RNA (tRNA) molecules are approximately 80 nucleotides in length. The record is from RNAcentral. Lineage: Archaea; Thermoproteati; Thermoproteota; Thermoprotei.